AUGUGGGAACCCCCCACAUCCCAUGAGGCUCCCAAGCCAGGGCAACAAGUCAGCUUCUCUGCAAGUGACUAUCUGUCCCUGUCCUUAGGCCACCGGCCCUGCUCCUGUCACAUCACCACCCAGGAGCCACCAGCUGCCAACGGCUGCCAGGGCCCCAGCCAUCAUCACGGAGGACUUCGGCAGUAAGAUCGUUCUCUAAAUGUCACUGUCUACCCCCUCACCGUGCAAGUUCUUUAGUCUGUGCUGGUGCCUUAAAAGCUUCUGCUGGCUUUGUGUUGAGCAAGCCUCGUCUCUACUCCAGGUGGAUCUGGUAGUUUGAUCGGCACAAGGCUGCUGCUUUCCCUGUAGACACCGAAAAGUAGACUUUCUCACUCUCCGGGCAAGAGACCACAGUGCAGGAAAAUAAAGAUGUUUUCCACAGUGGGAGCUGCCAGCGGGGGACUGCUGUCCCCAGAACCCCGCAUUCCAUCCUCCAACAAAUACUGACUGGGGGUCUACCGUGUUCCAGGGGCUGCCAACGCUAGCUCCUUAGGGAAUCAAAUCUCUGGUGCCAGGUGAAAACGAACCUGACCUGCAGUCCGGGACCUCGAGAAACCUGACAACAAAGACACCUGUGGCUUGGGGAGCUCCCGGAGCCGCCACAAGAGCAGGUGAGUGUGGCGUCCCUGCCUGUGGCUGGAGAACACAGGCGAGCCGUGGGCCCGUGGGGGCCGAGCUUGGGAGCCAAGCCCCGGCCACAGGGGGUUGUUACUGGGACAUUGUCGCUAGGCCGCGCCACCGGCUUCUUGCGAGCUUGCAGGCCACAGACGCGGCACAGGCCGGAGCUGUUGGCGCAUCAGACCCUGGAUACGAGUAACCCCGAACCCCGAGUCCAGCCCCGGGUCGCGCGCCCACUGGUCAGUGCAGGAGGCCGUGCCGCGGGAAAAUCAGAGCCGAGCGGAUCGCGCUCCCGACGGAGGCGCAAAGGACGCACAUGGCCACGUCCACGGCGCCCACGCAAGGACCGGCUGCUGGUGUGAGGUCACCGUACAAACCGAGGAGCGGCGCCUUCCUUACAUGCGGGGGAUCAAACCCAGGGAACAAGGAGGAGGGAAGAAACGUCGCCCCAGGACUCAUGCAGCUAACUGCAGGUGCAGCUGCCGCCCGGCUUCCAGGGACUCGUUGGGGAAAGGCAAGAAGAAGGAUCCUGCUGUCGAAUCUCCCAGCUGAGGCGUGGAAGUUGGCCCUGAAGGUGACACUGGCUUCUGCAGACCAGAUUCCCUGAGUGUCAGUUGGGGUCCCGACCGGCAUCUCUCUCCAGGUCCCAGGUGACACUGCACGGUGGGUGCAGGGACCAGGGCGCUCAGAGCCUCGGGGCGGA
This is a long non-coding RNA of Prionailurus viverrinus (fishing cat), 1360 nucleotides long. RefSeq lists it as uncharacterized. The transcript has 3 exons. NCBI's taxonomy places the organism in Eukaryota, Metazoa, Chordata, Mammalia, Carnivora, Felidae. The record is from RefSeq and is a predicted model, not a curated record.